AGGAUGACCAGUCUGCCUUGUACCAACCACCAAUGAACCAGUCAUGGGACAACAAACUGAGAAAGGCAAUGCAAAUGAGUGGUUUGUACCAAAAGCACCCUCUGGAUUGUGAUCUGCUGGCUGGAUUUGCCAAAUAUCUCCGCGAUGACCACAACAUUCCCAAUUUCAAACAGGAGGUUGCAAAUGUGUCUAGGUUUUUGUUUUACAUGGACUCCACCAAACCUUCCCUGGAUUUUGUCAAUAAAUUGGAGCAAAGCAGGUCC
Coregonus clupeaformis (lake whitefish) is the source of this 263-nucleotide long non-coding RNA. RefSeq lists it as uncharacterized. The record is from RefSeq and is a predicted model, not a curated record. The transcript has 3 exons. NCBI's taxonomy places the organism in Eukaryota, Metazoa, Chordata, Actinopteri, Salmoniformes, Salmonidae.